Molecule: long non-coding RNA, 308 nt
Filed under: Elaeis guineensis (African oil palm)
Lineage: Eukaryota; Viridiplantae; Streptophyta; Magnoliopsida; Arecales; Arecaceae
Description: long non-coding RNA (EGUI_LNC061284)
Source: RNAcentral
UCUCUUCAUGGCCUAUGCUUGGAUCAGCACAAGAAAGAAGAGUCUCUUAUCUAGUCUCUUCAUAAUCCAUGCUUGUUCAUGCUUUGCACUGUGAUAAGAAGACCUUAAGGAUAUUCUGUGAGAAACCAUGAGAAUGGCUAUCUAAAUCAUUGGUCUAGUGGAAUCAAAAGUUCUAGAUCCUUUAGUUCAUAUAUUUCUGUAAUUAUUUCUUUCACUGCUUUAUUAGUAGUUACAACCAAUCUCCAUAUCUUCCUUAAAGCUCAUCUAAACAAGAGUUUAAAUACACUUUAAACACCUAAUUCCUCAUG